RNAcentral lists this ribosomal RNA (483 nucleotides) under uncultured Flavobacteriaceae bacterium. RNAcentral's name for it is "bacterial SSU rRNA". It matches the Rfam family "Bacterial small subunit ribosomal RNA", at positions 28 to 505 of the family's 1533-position model. The record is from RNAcentral. Lineage: Bacteria; Pseudomonadati; Bacteroidota; Flavobacteriia; Flavobacteriales; Flavobacteriaceae.
GAUGAACGCUAGCGGCAAGCCUAACACAUGCAAGUCGAACGGUAACUUUUGGUGCUUGCACCGAAAGACGAGUGGCGAACGGGUGCGUAACGCGUAUGCAAUCUGCCUUUUACUAGGGUAUAGCCCAGAGAAAUUUGGAUUAAUCCCCUAUAAUAUCAUUUAAUCGCAUGAUUUUAUGAUUAAAGCUUCGGCGGUAAAAGAUGAGCAUGCGUCCUAUUAGUUAGUAGGUGAGGUAACGGCUCACCUAGACUCCGAUAGGUAGGGGUCCUGAGAGGGAGAUCCCCCACACUGGUACUGAGACACGGACCAGACUCCUACGGGAGGCAGCAGUGAGGAAUAUUGGACAAUGGACGAAAGUCUGAUCCAGCUAUGCCGCGUGCAGGAUGACGGCCCUAUGGGUUGUAAACUGCUUUUAUACAGGAAGAAAAACUCCGACGUGUCGGAACUUGACGGUACUGUAAGAAUAAGGAUCGGCUAACUCCG